This 728-nucleotide long non-coding RNA is filed under the name Equus caballus (horse). Its description in RNAcentral is "lncRNA (ENSECAG00000047685.1)". The record is from RNAcentral. Lineage: Eukaryota; Metazoa; Chordata; Mammalia; Perissodactyla; Equidae.
GUGCAAGACUGUGCGGUCUUCCGGAGGGUUCCUGGGAAGCAGGUCGGGCGGAGCCCCGGUCCGGAAGCCCGGCCCAGGAUUGUGUGCCAGUGCCUGCGGGCCCAGGGGCCAGCGGCCGAAGGCCCUUGAACUGUGCGGAAAGGAGCGAAGGCAUGGCAUCCUGGAGAUGUGGGAGCCUCCUGGAUAACCACGGCCCUUUCCUCCCUCAGGGUCUCCGCACUUGCUGUUCCACAUCCCUAAAAACCUCUUUUCCUUGCCCCUGGCAAAACUGCUUCCUUCCCAUCCUUCUGGCUCUGGCAAAAACGCCCUUCCUCAGAGGUUUCCCUGACUUCAGCUGGGGAGGCUCCUGGCUCUUGUUACCUUGUCACCUGCCUCAUAAGGAUGUUUUGAGCAUUAAAUGAGAUCAUCCGGGCUCCAGGAACAGUGCCCUGCACAGAGCGAGAACCCCAAAGUCCCUAACUUUGUGCUGGGCACCAUGCUGGAUGUGAGGGAUGCAGCAGUGACCACAACAAACAGGGGCACCAAGAGAGAGCCCCUGGGCAGGAACCUUUCAAUCCACAGGACGCAAGGUCUGCCAGCUGGGCAGAGAUGGGUUCCUCUCCUCUUUCACUGCCAACAUCCCAGCUGGAGGCUGGCACAGUGUGGGCACAGACAAACGUUUGUUGGAAGGAGUGACUGAAGCCAGGCUGAAAAGGCAAGUUUACAACUGACCUUCCUUCAACCACCAG